Molecule: ribosomal RNA, 253 nt
Filed under: uncultured bacterium
Lineage: Bacteria
Description: partial 16S ribosomal RNA
Rfam family: Bacterial small subunit ribosomal RNA
Source: RNAcentral
GACGAACCGUGCGAACGUUGUUCGGAAUUACUGGGCGUAAAGGGCGCGUAGGCGGCCUGCUAAGUCGGAUGUGAAAUCCCUCGGCUCAACCGAGGAACUGCAUCCGAUACUGGCGGGCUUGAAUCCGGGAGAGGGAUGUGGAAUUCCAGGUGUAGCGGUGAAAUGCGUAGAUAUCUGGAGGAACACCGGUGGCGAAGGCGGCAUCCUGGACCGGUAUUGACGCUGAGGCGCGAAAGCUAGGGGAGCAAACGGG